AGCGUAGACGGAGUGGCAAGUCUGAUGUGAAAACCCGGGGGCUCAACCCCGGGACUGCAUUGGAAACUGUCAAUCUAGAGUACCGGAGAGGUAAGCGGAAUUCCUAGUGUAGCGGUGAAAUGCGUAGAUAUUAGGAGGAACACCAGUGGCGAAGGCGGCUUACUGGACGGUAACUGACGUUGAGGCUCGAAAGCGUGGGGAGCAAACA
RNAcentral lists this ribosomal RNA (208 nucleotides) under uncultured bacterium. RNAcentral's name for it is "partial 16S ribosomal RNA". It matches the Rfam family "Bacterial small subunit ribosomal RNA", at positions 568 to 774 of the family's 1533-position model. The record is from RNAcentral.